AGAGUUUGAUCAUGGCUCAGAAUCAACGCUGGCGGCGUGCCUCAGACAUGCAAGUCGAACGAUUAAACUUCCCUUCGGGGAAGAUAUAAAGUGGCGCACGGGUGAGUAACACGUAGGUAAUGUACCUUUGGGUGGGGAAUAACUUAGGGAAACUUAAGCUAAUACCGCAUAAUGCAGCGGCUCCUUCGGGAGACAGUUGUUAAAGAUUUAUCGCCUAAAGAGCAGCCUGCGGCAGAUUAGCUAGUUGGUAAGGUAACGGCUUACCAAGGCUACGAUCUGUAUCCGACCUGAGAGGGUGGUCGGACACACUGACACUGAAUAACGGGUCAGACUCCUACGGGAGGCAGCAGUCGGGAAUUUUGGGCAAUGGGCGAAAGCCUGACCCAGCAACGCCGCGUGAAGGAUGAAGUCUUUCGGGAUGUAAACUUCGUAAGAAUAGGAAGAAUAAAUGACGGUACUAUUUGUAAGGUCCGGCUAACUACGUGCCAGCAGCCGCGGUAAUACGUAGGGACCAAGCGUUGUUCGGAUUUACUGGGCGUAAAGGGCGCGUAGGCGGCGUGUCAAGUCAAUUGUGAAAUCUCCGGGCUUAACUCGGAACGGUCAAUUGAUACUGAUGUGCUAGAGUACAGAAGGGGCAAUCGGAAUUCUUGGUGUAGCGGUGGAAUGCGUAGAUAUCAAGAGGAACACCUGAGGUGAAGACGGGUUGCUGGGCUGAUACUGACGCUGANGCGCGAAAGCUAGGGUAGCAAACGGGAUUAGAUACCCCGGUAGUCCUAGCCCUAAACGAUGAAUACUUGGUGUCUGGAGUUUUAAUUCUCCGGGUGCCGUCGCUAACGUUUUUAGUAUUCCGCCUGGGGAGUACGCACGCAAGUGUGAAACUCAAAUGAAUUGACGGGG
This 897-nucleotide ribosomal RNA is filed under the name uncultured Acidobacteriota bacterium. Its description in RNAcentral is "bacterial SSU rRNA". It matches the Rfam family "Bacterial small subunit ribosomal RNA", at positions 8 to 918 of the family's 1533-position model. The record is from RNAcentral. Lineage: Bacteria; Pseudomonadati; Acidobacteriota.